AGCGAACGCUGGCGGCAGGCCUAACACAUUCAAGUCGAACGAACCUUUCGGGGUUAGUGGCGGACGGGUGAGUAACACGUGGGAACGUGCCUUUAGGUUCGGAAUAACUCAGGGAAACUUGUGCUAAUACCGAAUGUGCCCUUCGGGGGAAAGAUUUAUCGCCUUUAGAGCGGCCCGCGUCUGAUUAGCUAGUUGGUUGAGGUAAUGGCUCACCAAGGCGACGAUCAGUAGCUGGUCUGAGAGGAUGAUCAGCCACAUUGGGACUGAGACACGGCCCAAACUCCUACGGGAGGCAGCAGUGGGGAAUCUUGCGCAAUGGGCGAAAGCCUGACGCAGCCAUGCCGCGUGAAUGAUGAAGGUCUUAGGAUUGUAAAAUUCUAUCACCGGGGACGAUAAUGACGGUACCCGGAGAAGAAGCCCCGGCUAACUUCGUG
This 434-nucleotide ribosomal RNA is filed under the name uncultured bacterium. RNAcentral describes it as "partial 16S ribosomal RNA". It matches the Rfam family "Bacterial small subunit ribosomal RNA", at positions 29 to 507 of the family's 1533-position model. The record is from RNAcentral.